UCUCCGUUGGUGAACCAGCGGAGGGAUCAUUACCGAGUGCAAACUCAUAACCCUUUGUGAACCUAUAUCUGUUGCUUCGGCGGCUCGCUCUCGGGCGAGCCCGCCGGUAAUACCAGUAUCUCUGUUUGAACCCGACGAUACUUCUGAGUGUUCUUAGCGAACAGUUAAAACUUUUAACAACGGAUCUCUUGGCUCUA
RNAcentral lists this unclassified non-coding RNA (197 nucleotides) under plant metagenome. RNAcentral describes it as "partial contains small subunit ribosomal RNA, internal transcribed spacer 1, and 5.8S ribosomal RNA". The record is from RNAcentral.